Molecule: unclassified non-coding RNA, 394 nt
Filed under: soil metagenome
Description: partial contains 5.8S ribosomal RNA, internal transcribed spacer 2, and large subunit ribosomal RNA
Rfam family: 5.8S ribosomal RNA (bases 1-122)
Source: RNAcentral
GAUGAAGAACGUAGCGAAAUGCGAUACUUGGUGUGAAUUGCAGAAUCCCGUGAACCAUCGAGUCUUUGAACGCAAGUUGCGCCCGAAGCCAUCAGGUUGAGGGCACGUCUGCCUGGGCGUCACAUAUCGUUGCCCAAUGCCUAUUGCAGUGCAAUAGGAAUUUCUAGGGCGAAUGAUGGCUUCCCGUGAGCGUUGUUGCCUCGCGGUUGGUUGAAGAUCGAGUCCUUGGUAGGGUGUGCCAUGGUAGAUGGUGGUCGAGUUAGAACGAUACCGAUCAUGUGCAUGCUCCCCAAAAUAUGGCCUCUAUGACCCACACGCGUCUUUUGACGCUCAUGACGAGACCUCAGGUCAGGCGGGGCUACCCGCUGAAUUUAAGCAUAUCAUAAGCGGAGGA